GAUUUAAAGGAAAUUAUUAAUUUUAAUUUUUAAUUUGAAAUUAAUUAAAUAAAUUUUGAGUUUUAUUAUUUAAUUGAAAAGAUAUUUAUUUAUAAUAGUUUAUUUGGUAUUGUGAAAGAAUUUUAAUUAAAUUUAUAAAGGAGAAGGAUUUUUGUACCUUGUGUAUCAGGGUUUAUUAAGUAAGAUUAAUAUUUAUUUAGGAUCUCGAAUUUUAAAGAGUUAAUUUUGUAUAAAUUUUAUUGUAAAAUAAAUAUUUAGAAUAUGAAUUUGGAAGUAAAAUGUUAUUCGGUUUUUAAUAUAUCUAGUUUUUAAAGAAAGAAUUUUAAUUUUUUGAUAAUAAAUAUAUUUUUUUAUAAUAAAAGGAAUGUUAGUUGUUUAAAAUAUAUUUGGGGAUGAGCUUAAAUAUAGAGGGUUAUAAUUUUGUUAAGUUAAAUUUAGUUAAGGAUUAGAAGUAUUCAUUAUUAAUAAAGUUUUAUAGUUAAUUAAUUGAUAAUUUAAUAUUUUUAUUUAAUUUAAUUGUUUUAUUUAAAGUGAAAGUUUAAUUAUUAAGUUUAAGUUAUUAUGAUAAAAUUAGUAUAAAUUUAAUAUUUGAUUAAUUUAAGGAAUUCGGCAAUUUUAUUUUUCACCUGUUUAUUAAAAACAUGUUUUUUUGUAAUAAUUUUAGAUUAUCCCUGCCCACUGAAUCUUUUAAAUGGCCGCGGUAUUUUGACCGUGCUAAGGUAGCAUAAUCAUUAGUUUUUUAAUUGAAAGCUGGAAUGAAGGGGAUGAUGAAAAAAUAGCUGUCUCUAAUUUAUUUUUUAGAAUUUUAUUUUUAAGUAAGAAAGCUUAAAUUUUAUUAAUAGACGAUAAGACCCUAUAGAGUUUUAUAGGUUUAAUUUAAUGAUUUAUUGGUAUUUAUAUAAUUAUUAUUUUAUAUUUAUUUAAUUGGGGUGAUUGGAAAAUUAAUUGAACUUUUCUUUUUUUUAACAUUAAUUAAUGAAUAGAUGAUCCUUUUUUUGUGAUUAAAAGAUUAAAUUACCUUAGGGAUAACAGCGUAAUUUUUUUUAAGAGUUCAAAUCGAAAAAAGAUUUUGCGACCUCGAUGUUGGAUUAAAAUUAAAUUUUGAAGUAGAUGUUAAAAAUUUGGGUCUGUUCGACCUUUAAAAUUUUACAUGAUCUGAGUUUAAACCGGUGUGAGCCAGGUUGGUUUCUAUCUUUUAUAAAAGUUGAUAUUUUAGUACGAAAGGAUUAAAUAUGAAAUUUAUAAUUUAA
RNAcentral lists this ribosomal RNA (1250 nucleotides) under Coleoptera sp. ACP-2013. Its description in RNAcentral is "16S ribosomal RNA". The stretch from base 1025 to 1183 matches the Rfam family "Archaeal large subunit ribosomal RNA", at positions 2542 to 2701 of the family's 2987-position model. Lineage: Eukaryota; Metazoa; Arthropoda; Insecta; Coleoptera. The record is from RNAcentral.